CCGUUUUUCCUUUCCGUUGCAUCCGUAUUCGUAAAGCCCCUUUUUUAAGGGGCUUUUUUUUUGCCCAGG
Molecule: small RNA, 69 nt
Filed under: Klebsiella oxytoca KA-2
Lineage: Bacteria; Pseudomonadati; Pseudomonadota; Gammaproteobacteria; Enterobacterales; Enterobacteriaceae
Description: suhB
Source: RNAcentral